This 450-nucleotide ribosomal RNA is filed under the name uncultured bacterium. Its description in RNAcentral is "partial 16S ribosomal RNA". It matches the Rfam family "Bacterial small subunit ribosomal RNA", at positions 354 to 796 of the family's 1533-position model. The record is from RNAcentral.
GUGGGGAAUAUUGGACAAUGGGCGAAAGCCUGAUCCAGCCAUGCCGCGUGUGUGAAGAAGGUCUUCGGAUUGUAUAGCACUUUAAGUUGGGAGGAAGGGCAGUAAGUUAAUACCUUGCUGUUUUGACGUUACCGACAGAAUAAGCACCGGCUAACUUCGUGCCAGCAGCCGCGGUAAUACGAAGGGUGCAAGCGUUAAUCGGAAUUACUGGGCGUAAAGCGCGCGUAGGUGGUUUUGUAAGUUGGAGGUGAAAUCCCCGGGCUCAACCUGGGAACUGCCUCCAAAACUGCAUGACUAGAGUACGGUAGAGGGUAGUGGAAUUUCCUGUGUAGCGGUGAAAUGCGUAGAUAUAGGAAGGAACACCAGUGGCGAAGGCGACUACCUGGACUGAUACUGACACUGAGGUGCGAAAGCGUGGGGAGCAAACAGGAUUAGAAACCCCGGUAGUCC